AAAUAAGAAGCAAUUAUGCAUAUAGUUUCGACCUAUAGAUUUGAUAUAAAUUUAUCCUUAUUUA
This 64-nucleotide transfer RNA is filed under the name Jellisonia amadoi. RNAcentral's name for it is "tRNA-Arg". Lineage: Eukaryota; Metazoa; Arthropoda; Insecta; Siphonaptera; Ceratophyllidae. The record is from RNAcentral.